This 496-nucleotide ribosomal RNA is filed under the name uncultured bacterium. Its description in RNAcentral is "partial 16S ribosomal RNA". It matches the Rfam family "Bacterial small subunit ribosomal RNA", at positions 28 to 505 of the family's 1533-position model. The record is from RNAcentral.
GAUGAACGCUGGCGGCGUGCCUAAUACAUGCAAGUCGAGCGAACAGAUGAGGAGCUUGCUCCUCUGACGUUAGCGGCGGACGGGUGAGUAACACGUGGAUAACCUACCUAUAAGACUGGGAUAACUUCGGGAAACCGGAGCUAAUACCGGAUAAUAUAUUGAACCGCAUGGUUCAAUAGUGAAAGACGGUUUUGCUGUCACUUAUAGAUGGAUCCGCGCCGCAUUAGCUAGUUGGUAAGGUAACGGCUUACCAAGGCAACGAUGCGUAGCCGACCUGAGAGGGGUGACGGCCCACAUGGGAACGGACACCCGCCCAGCGCCCCUGGGGGGGGCGACGGUGGGAAUUCUCCCGAAAGGGGCAAAGCCCGGACGGGGAACCCCCGCGUGGGGAAGAAGGUUCUCCGGACCUAAAACCUCUUUUAUGGGGAAAAAAAAAUUGUGAAGGUAACUAGCCCCGUCUGGACGGUCCCAAACCAGAAACCCCCGCCUACUUCCG